This 169-nucleotide ribosomal RNA is filed under the name uncultured bacterium. RNAcentral describes it as "partial 16S rRNA". It matches the Rfam family "Bacterial small subunit ribosomal RNA", at positions 352 to 511 of the family's 1533-position model. The record is from RNAcentral.
CAGUAGGGAAUCUUCGGCAAUGGACGAAAAGUCUGACCGAGCAACGCCGCGUGAGUGAAGAAGGUUUUCGGAUCGUAAAACUCUGUUGGUAGAGAAGAACGUUGGUGAGAGUGGAAAGCUCAUCAAGUGACGGUAACUACCCAGAAAGGGACGGCUAACUACGUGCCAG